CCUAGUCAUCAUCAUCUACCGCGCGGCGGGCGUGGGCGUGGGCGUGGGCGUGCGGCGCGACGACCCGAAGUGCCAGAAGGACGGCGUCCAGGUCCAGAACGGCGGCGAGCGGUUCCGGCGCUCCGGCGCGCUGGGCGGCCCGGCGUCCAGGCCCAGCAUGCCCCACAUCACCUCGACGUCGUGGUACCCGCAGGUCUGCACGUCCCUGUGGAGGUCCACGAUCCCUGCUCGCUCUGCAUCGCAGCCGACGAGCCAAGACGCGGCCCGUUGCAACGGGGGAACAGUUAGUGUUAUACUCCGCGUAGAUAGCAAACUGGUG
Molecule: unclassified non-coding RNA, 319 nt
Filed under: Zea mays
Lineage: Eukaryota; Viridiplantae; Streptophyta; Magnoliopsida; Poales; Poaceae
Description: misc RNA Zm00001eb206860
Source: RNAcentral